Molecule: ribosomal RNA, 443 nt
Filed under: uncultured bacterium
Lineage: Bacteria
Description: partial 16S ribosomal RNA
Rfam family: Bacterial small subunit ribosomal RNA
Source: RNAcentral
CCUACGGGAGGCAGCAGUGGGGAAUAUUGGGCAAUGGGCGCAAGCCUGACCCAGCAACGCCGCGUGAAGGAAGAAGGCUUUCGGGUUGUAAACUUCUUUUAUGAGGGACGAACCAAGUAACGUUCCCUGUUGAUAAAGCAAGGCCUAACUACGUGCCAGAAGCCGCGGUAAUACGUAGGUGGCAAGCGUUAUCCGGAUUUACUGGGUGUAAAGGGCGUGUAGUCGGGAGUGCAAGUCAGAUGUGAAAACUAUAGGCUCAACCCAUGACCUGCAUUUGAAACUGUUCUUCUUGAGUGCUGGAGAGGCAAUCGGAAUGCCGUGUGUAGCGGUGAAAUGCGUAGAUAUAAGGAAGAACACCAGUGGCGAAGGCGGAUUACUGGACUGUAACUGACGGUGAGGCUCGAAAGCGUGGGGAGCAAACAGGAUUAGAUACCCUAGUAGUC